Molecule: ribosomal RNA, 369 nt
Filed under: uncultured bacterium
Lineage: Bacteria
Description: bacterial SSU rRNA
Rfam family: Bacterial small subunit ribosomal RNA
Source: RNAcentral
ACGGAGGAUGCGAGCGUUAUCCGGAUUUAUUGGGUUUAAAGGGUGCGUAGGCGGCUUAUUAAGUCCGUGGUGAAAUUUCUCGGCUCAACCGAGACCCUGCCAUUGAUACUGAUAAGCUAGAAUUCAAAUGGAGUAGGCGGAAUGAAUCAUGUAGCGGUGACAUGCAUAGAUAUGAUUCAGAACACCGAUCGCGAAGGCAGCUUACUAAGAUGAAAUUGACGCUGAUGCACGAAAGCGUGGGUAGCAAACAGGAUUAGAUACCCUGGUAGUCCACGCUGUAAACGAUGAUAACUCGUUGUCGGCGAUACAUUGUCGGUGACUUAGCGAAAGCGAUAAGUUAUCCACCUGGGGAGUACGAUCGCAAGGUUG